UUUAAAGUCUAACCUGCCCAAUGAUUAAUUAAAUGGCCGCAGUAAUUUGACUGUGCAAAGGUAGCAUAAUCAUUAGUUUUUUAAUUGAAAGCUGGAAUGAAUGGUUGGACGAGAAAAUAGCUGUCUCAAUUUAAAUGUAUUAGAAUUUUAUUUUUAAGUUAAAAAGCUUAAAUAAUUUUGGAAGACGAGAAGACCCUAUAGAGUUUAAUAAUUUUGGAAAUAUAAAUUAUUAAGAAAGUUUUAUUUAGUAUUUCAAGGGUUAUUUUGUUGGGGUGAUGGGAAAAUUCAAUUAACUUUUCUUUAUUAUUUACAUUAAUUUAUGUUUGAUUGAUCCAUUAUUAAUGAUUAUAAGAUUAAAUUACCUUAGGGAUAACAGCGUAAUUUUUUUUGAGAGUUCUUAUCGAAGGAAAAGUUUGCGACCUCGAUGUUGGAUUAAAAUAAACUUUUGGUGCAGAAGUUAAAAAGUUAGGUCUGUUCGACCUUUAAAAUUUUACAUGAUCUGAGUUCAAACCGGAG
RNAcentral lists this ribosomal RNA (516 nucleotides) under Sceloclania macgregori. Its description in RNAcentral is "Clania sp. 'macgregori' DA-2011 partial 16S large subunit ribosomal RNA". It matches the Rfam family "Bacterial large subunit ribosomal RNA", at positions 1844 to 2621 of the family's 2925-position model. Lineage: Eukaryota; Metazoa; Arthropoda; Insecta; Coleoptera; Scarabaeidae. The record is from RNAcentral.